This 367-nucleotide ribosomal RNA is filed under the name uncultured bacterium. RNAcentral's name for it is "bacterial SSU rRNA". It matches the Rfam family "Bacterial small subunit ribosomal RNA", at positions 527 to 896 of the family's 1533-position model. The record is from RNAcentral.
GUAGGUGGCAAGCGUUGUCCGGAUUUAUUGGGUUUAAAGGGUGCGUAGGCGGCUUUGUAAGUCAGUGGUGAAAUAUGGCAGCUUAACUGUCAAGGUGCCAUUGAUACUGCAGAGCUUGAGUACAGAUGAGGUAGGCGGAAUUGACGGUGUAGCGGUGAAAUGCUUAGAUAUCGUCAAGAACACCUAUAGCGAAGGCAGCUUACUAAGCUGUAACUGACGCUGAGGCACGAAAGUGUGGGGAUCAAACAGGAUUAGAUACCCUGGUAGUCCACACUGUAAACGUUGAUUACUCGCUGUGUGCGAUAUACAGUACGCGGCCAAGCGAAAGCGCUAAGUAAUCCACCUGGGGAGUACGCCGGCAACGGUG